AAACAUUUUAUAUUUCUUUCACCAAGUGAUUCAGUAUAUGUAUACAAUUCUAGUAUUUUAACUUCUAUUUAACGAGCACUUAGGGAAUGUGAAUUUCCGUCAUUCGACUGCGCCAAUUGCAUGCUAAGUAUUUGGUUGCGGUUAACAACCAAGGCCGGAGUACCCCCAACGUUGAAAACUAUCUACGUCUCACAAGACAAGCAAUUACGAUCUCGAACUUCAAAAAGAUUCCGUCUAUGCGGAUUGUGUUGUUAUCCUGGGAAAGCUACAAAUACCGCGUAUAAAUUUGCUAUAUUCGUAAUUGGGUUCGAAGCUAAGCGAUGCCCAGCCUACCAGUUCGGCGUACACGGAAGGAUUCCCAAUUGGAGAACGAUGACGAUCUUGGUCGUAUUGCCCAAAUUUAUCCCACCUAUGCUACACUCAGGUAUUUAAAUAUAGUCCGACAUCAAAUUAAAACAAGAGAGGACGCAAUAAUCAAGUUGCCCGACUAUUACAUAUCCGUUACUUAGCAGUCAAAUUAAAAAUCUUUUUGCUUUUAGCUUUUGAUUAAAAUUUUGAAAUCGGUACCCAGGGUACCACUUGGAGGAUCAUGAGUUGCAACGGGGUCGUUUAAAACAAAAUCAAUGUUUGGGACCUACUUGAGUUUUCAAACUCCAAACCAAAAAUUUGGUUUUCGUAGCAUACGGAGGCAUACAUAAUGUUAAUAUUAAAAAUUAAAUAUUUGUAAAAUAAAAAAAAAAUU
Non-coding RNA from Drosophila melanogaster (fruit fly), 742 nucleotides. Lineage: Eukaryota; Metazoa; Arthropoda; Insecta; Diptera; Drosophilidae. The record is from Ensembl.